This is a long non-coding RNA of Lolium rigidum, 560 nucleotides long. RefSeq lists it as uncharacterized. Lineage: Eukaryota; Viridiplantae; Streptophyta; Magnoliopsida; Poales; Poaceae. The transcript is spliced from 2 exons. The record is from RefSeq and is a predicted model, not a curated record.
UGUAUAUUGUAAAUAAUCAUCUUUGAUUAAGCUUUACAAUUUAGAGUUUUCAUUUGUUCUGAAUAGAACAAUGUUUGAUGCAAUUUACAUUGCUCACGUGCAAGUAUCAUUUGAUUAAGACUUGCAGUGUUUACAUGACACUGGUAAAUAUUUGUGUAUCUCAAGAUGGACUUUUUUGUUGUUACUUAUGCUAUAACUGUAGCUGCUAAUAUUUUUGUCAUCCUGUUACCUGUCAAUAAUUUAUGGUAUGUUCCAGAUUGUUUAUUCUUUCUAGCAUAUCUUAAAAUAUUUAUCAUGGUUUACUCUUGCUUCUAGGGCCUUGAGAUAUGUUACGACAAAGCUCUUUAAUUGGGUAUUUGCUACGGUCCGGAAGAUGUGAGAUGUCAUGAAGAACUUUUUGAGAAGAUGUCUUUGCUACAGCAGUUUCAGUUUAUACGUCCUGAAAACUUGGAUAUGAGACCAGAAUAUCAGAAUGAAACAUCAUGGCUGCCAGUUGAAAUUGUCGCACCCCGAUCACAUGCUAGUUUAAUCAACCGCACCAGCAGAAGAUAACUUUGACA